GCAACAUCCAUGCCCAACAGAGAAAAUGUCAUGUUCUGUCAGGAAUGGUAAUGAUUUGACCAAGGGAGAAGUGCUGCAUCAUUUCCAGUGCUUGGCAUCAAGUGGAGUCCACCCCCAAAGUGGCAAUACAGAUAUGUUGAGUCCACAGAUGGAAGGUGGAAAAGGUUGGAGGACAAAGUUGGGGGCUGACACCACACCAUGCAAGAUGUCAGCUGAAAAGGG
Molecule: long non-coding RNA, 222 nt
Filed under: Lepisosteus oculatus (spotted gar)
Lineage: Eukaryota; Metazoa; Chordata; Actinopteri; Semionotiformes; Lepisosteidae
Description: lncRNA (ENSLOCG00000022690.1)
Source: RNAcentral